CACACUAAAUCUACAAUAACAUGUUCACAAAAACAUGCAAGCAAGAACAUGUCUUCACCAAACUGUCCGCACUAUCUCAUCCAUAAGCAUACUAAAAUUGAUAGGCAUAGCAAUAUUAUUAUACAGAUCUAUAUUAUAUGUUUUCGCAUCAGUCACCAAUCCACAACUCUAUCAUCCACAACACUUUGCAUCAAUCCACGACUCUUUCGUUCACAAAACUUUUAUUAAUAAAUUAAAAUUUUAAUUUUUUUAGAAAAUAUCAAAGUAUAUAUAUAUAUGGUUAUCAAAAUGUUAUCUACAAUUUUUCUGUCCAUUUGAUAUUGGCUGUUAUCCAUUUGAUGAUAAAUUUAUUAUAUAUGAAUGAUUAUUAGACAUGUUAGGAAAAGAAAAGCUUUAAAAAUUUGUCAUGAAAAAGAUGGAUGAGUUUAAGGAAAUGUUAUGAUAAAUGAUGAAUCAGAUCCUCAAGUCAUCCGUUCAAUUCACAAACCGUCUAUCCCUAACUCACAUGUCCACAGAAUUAGAACUCAUGUC
This 531-nucleotide long non-coding RNA is filed under the name Brassica napus (rape). RNAcentral's name for it is "long non-coding RNA (BNAP_LNC005151)". The record is from RNAcentral. Lineage: Eukaryota; Viridiplantae; Streptophyta; Magnoliopsida; Brassicales; Brassicaceae.